UCCCUCUCUGUAUGGUUGGUUACACAAGGUUUCCCAUGUGUGACUUUCAUACACAGAUAGAGAAAAGAGCUCCUUGGGAGUUGAUUGGCCUCUCUUGCCUAGAGAAGCACAACAGGG
Molecule: small nucleolar RNA, 117 nt
Organism: Jaculus jaculus (lesser Egyptian jerboa)
Lineage: Eukaryota; Metazoa; Chordata; Mammalia; Rodentia; Dipodidae
Source: Ensembl